RNAcentral lists this ribosomal RNA (253 nucleotides) under uncultured bacterium. RNAcentral's name for it is "partial 16S ribosomal RNA". It matches the Rfam family "Bacterial small subunit ribosomal RNA", at positions 524 to 776 of the family's 1533-position model. The record is from RNAcentral.
UACAGAGGUCUCAAGCGUUGUUCGGAUUCAUUGGGCGUAAAGGGCGCGUAGGCGGCUGUUCAAGUCGGGGGUGAAAUCCUGUGGCUCAACCACAGAAUGGCCUUCGAUACUGGACGGCUAGAGACCGGAAGAGGUGAGUGGAACUGCGAGUGUAGAGGUGAAAUUCGUAGAUAUUCGCAAGAACACCAGUGGCGAAGGCGGCUCACUGGUCCGGUUCUGACGCUGAGGCGCGAAAGCGUGGGGAGCAAACAGG